GUGCUCACAUAUACUAAAACUGGAACAAUACAGAGAUGACUAGCAUGGCCCCUGCACGAGGAUGACACGAAAAUUGGUGAAGUGUUCCAUAUUUAA
Myotis lucifugus (little brown bat) is the source of this 96-nucleotide small nuclear RNA. NCBI's taxonomy places the organism in Eukaryota, Metazoa, Chordata, Mammalia, Chiroptera, Vespertilionidae. The record is from Ensembl.